AGCCCCUUUGAAGCAGAGUAUUAUUUCCAGGCGUAGAAGAGAGGCAAGGAGAGCGGUUCAUCACAUAAGUACUCCAUAUAUGCUGGCUGUUUUGAAAAUGGGGAUUGCCACGUAAGAAGUGAAGAGACUUCUGAAAUUGAAAGCAAUCCUCAUCCCACAGGCAGCGAGGAUUUGGUGACCUUAAACCUACAGUUUCAAGGAACUGAACUCUGCUAAGUACCUGAAUGAACUUGGAAGCAUAUUCUUCCCUGGAGCUUCUAGUUGAGAGUCACAGUGAGGACAGGAAGACAGAAUAUUCUAGAUCUGGACAGUCCUGGAGUCUUUGUCAUCAGCUUCUCCAUUGGCCACAGUGAAAAGAUUCUCGAGUCCUCAGGUGCUGUGUGCUUAGUCGCUCAGUCGUAUCUGACUCUUGCGACCCCUUAGACCGUAGCCUGCCAGGCUCCUCUGUCCAUGGAUUCUCCAGGCAAGAACACUGGAGUGGGCUGCCAGUGUGGACAGGUAUUAGAAACAAGCACUAAGCACUGAGUUAUGCUCCUUGCUAAUGUGUUGUUACUUUCAGGCCCUUUGAGUUGACAGAACAGCAACAACAAAAAAACCAUUUGUGUAUUAAGUGGUGUUUGCAUACAUAUCUGCAAAUAUUUCUAUAUGUAUCCAAGGAGGAGAGUAUUUUUAUUUUGUGCCUUCUUGGAUACCAAAUAAAGAGCCACAGACAACACUUUAGGAUUAUGGGUAACUUUGAUUUUUUA
Bubalus bubalis (water buffalo) is the source of this 746-nucleotide long non-coding RNA. RefSeq lists it as uncharacterized. The transcript is spliced from 3 exons. The record is from RefSeq and is a predicted model, not a curated record. NCBI's taxonomy places the organism in Eukaryota, Metazoa, Chordata, Mammalia, Artiodactyla, Bovidae.